UCUCCGUUGGUGAAUCAGCGGAGGGAUCAUAACAGAGUUUUUAACUCCCAAACCCAUGUGAACUUACCCUUGUUGCCUCGGCGGAGCCUACCCUGUAGCUACCCUGUAGGGUGGUUACUCUGUAGCGCCCCGCCGGUGGAUUUUCAAACUCUUGUUAUUUUUAGUAAUCUGAGCGUCUUAUUUUAAAUAAGUCAAAACUUUCAACAACGGAUCUCUUGGUUCUGGCAUCGAUUAAGAACGCAGC
This 244-nucleotide unclassified non-coding RNA is filed under the name uncultured fungus. RNAcentral's name for it is "sequence contains ITS1, 5.8S rRNA gene". The stretch from base 196 to 244 matches the Rfam family "5.8S ribosomal RNA", at positions 1 to 49 of the family's 154-position model. Lineage: Eukaryota; Fungi. The record is from RNAcentral.